AAAACUAAGGGUACAGAUAUAGUUAUAAUUAAUCUCAAUAUACUCAUCAAACUUCGUUCAAAAAACAGGUAAAAAAAAUAAAGAGGGUAAAAUCCAUUUGGUCAUCACUGAUGUAUAUGAAUCUGUAAUGGACGGAUUUCUAUACCACCUCACCUUAAACUAAAAAAGAAAAUAAAAAGUAGCUUCGUAACUUUUGAAAUUAAAGAUCUAGCUGUUGUGGUCAACAGUGUGACUUGUUCCGCCCCCGUCCCGGGUUCGACCCUCUAUGUGCACGCCUGUCACCCCCGCGGUGCCUUACCUGCUCCUGGGCUUGCAGAAUGUCCAGUGGGCCGUGGGGAAUAGUCGUGGUGCGCGUAAGCUGGCCCGGACACCCCACGUAAAUCAAAAAAAAAUAAAAAAAUAAAAAUAAAAAAAAAAUAAAAAGUAGCUUCGUAACUUUUGAAAUUAAACAGGUACACCAGUAUCAGCUGUUACGCACAUGGUAUAUAUUUUCCUUGAUAUCCUUUUUGACUCAAGUUGAGGAUUUUCGUUGAUAGAACAAUUCUG
Molecule: long non-coding RNA, 546 nt
Filed under: Populus trichocarpa (black cottonwood)
Lineage: Eukaryota; Viridiplantae; Streptophyta; Magnoliopsida; Malpighiales; Salicaceae
Description: long non-coding RNA (PTRI_LNC003086)
Source: RNAcentral